Molecule: small nuclear RNA, 101 nt
Filed under: Colobus angolensis palliatus
Lineage: Eukaryota; Metazoa; Chordata; Mammalia; Primates; Cercopithecidae
Source: RNAcentral
GUGCUUGCUUCACGGAUACUAAAAUUGGAAUAAUACAGAGAAGAUUAGCAUGGCCCCUGCACAAGGAUGACAUGUAAAUUUGUGAAGCAUUCCAUACAAAA